GGUUAAUUAAUUAAUUCAUAUUUUCUCCUAUAUGAAUGGACUGAGAGUGAUUCCAUAUUUUGUAUUAUGAUAGGAAUCUGUGGAUCUGAUACUGUUGGUCCAUGAAGCCGAUUUCAGCAACUACAUUU
This is a small nucleolar RNA of Juglans microcarpa x Juglans regia, 128 nucleotides long. RefSeq annotates it as small nucleolar RNA snoR2/U65. The record is from RefSeq and is a predicted model, not a curated record. The transcript has a single exon. NCBI's taxonomy places the organism in Eukaryota, Viridiplantae, Streptophyta, Magnoliopsida, Fagales, Juglandaceae.